Molecule: ribosomal RNA, 47 nt
Filed under: Dactylella alba
Lineage: Eukaryota; Fungi; Ascomycota; Orbiliomycetes; Orbiliales; Orbiliaceae
Description: partial 28S ribosomal RNA
Source: RNAcentral
CAAAACCAAACCCCACCAGGCAGUCAUCAGAUCAGGCUGAAUAAAGG